CUUAAAAUCUUACUUUUGAAAUUUUCCCAAAUAUAUUUUAGGGCUCAAUAUCCAAAACCAAUCUUUGCUUUGCACCCCUGACCUUGUCGCCCAGCCAAAAGAUUUCAUUAUUUAACAGUCAAGUUCAGCAUCGAAACUUUCACUUGGAGCUUCCUCGUUUUAUGAAACAUCACCACUGCUGUUUCGUUUCCGUGCUUACAAUUCAGUUUACAAUUGAAGUCCAGUUUUGAGCUCCAUUUUACAAAAAAAUCAUUUUUUUCAAACUUAUUUUUAAUCAAUUUUUUUUUUCCUUUUUUAACAAUAGAAUAAUUUUAUACGUAAAUUCAUUUUUUAUAAAACCUAUUCUCUGCUUUAAGACAUGUUUUCCCAUAAAAUAGGCUGAAACAAUACGGGAAAUCUGAAACAACUAAUGUUUCGCCUACCUACUGUUCGAUGAAAUGUCCCCGAAACCAUUCUAAACACAUAACCCUUAUUUAUAGUUGUUACUGCUAAAAAAUGGCAGCUCUAUUCCUCAGAAGAGUCACCACCUUUAAGGCAAUAGCGAAUUGUCAUUCUUUUUCAAGGCAGUGUAUUUCAUUUUCUUCGACAAGAACCCCGACAUUUAUUGGCAAUGAUAAGAGAGACUCUGUUACCAACUACAAUGAUAGGCUUCAUCUUUCACCGUUGUUCUCGGAUAAUAAGAAUGAAGUAUGUGUAAAAGACUGCGGAAUUGAACUCGUGGAUGAUGAGACAUGGCAAGUGUCCUCGGUUAUAGCUGAUCUAUGGAGAGGGAAUGAUGAGAGGAAAGCGUGGGAAAAAAAGCCUUUUUCUGAUGAUCAAGAUGAUGACUAUAAUGGGGUUGUCAAGUUUGUGGCUUUAAAUAAGGGGAGCCCUGAUUUUGAUGAGAUUGAGGAUAUGAGGAUUCGUGGGUCUUUGUUUUACAAGCUUGACAAGAAUUCCAAAGAGUAUGAUGAAUAUAAAUUUGAUUUCCACGGGAGGAAAAAUUCAAAGAAUCAGAUUGAUAGGAAAGAAAACAAAAAGAACAAGGAGAAAGAUGAUCGAAGUUGCACGUUGGUGUCCAAGGUUGAGAAAACUUCAAAGAAGAAUGAGCCAAAAGAAAUCAAGCAAAAUAAUAAAGUGGAGAGAUCAAAGGGAAUGGAUAAGAAUGAGCAGAAAGAAAUCAAGAAAAAUAAAGUGAAUAAAGUAGAGAGAUUACAGGGAAUUGAAAAGAAUGAGCAUUUGAUUUCUCGUCUUCAUGAAAUGGGAGAUUCUUUUGUUGGAAAGAUGCAACGGACUCUCACUUUCAAUCAGUUAACGGCUCCUUACCAUGAACCAUUUUGCUUGGAUAUUUAUAUAUCCAAGGGUUCUGUGCGUGCUAGCGUUAUUCAUCGUGUUACUAGCAAAGUUGUGGUAGUGGCGCAUUCUAUUUCCAAGGACAUGAAAUUUGAUUUGGGUUCGACUAAGAAUAGAAAUGCUUGUGCUGUGGUUGGGGAAGUGUUGGCUCAGAGGGCCUUGGCUGAUGAUAUCCAUAAUGUGGUUUAUACUCCAAGGAAAGGGGAGAAAUUGGAAGGGAAGCUUCAGAUUGUACUUGAGUCCAUAAUUGAUAAUGGAAUCAACGUGAAGGUGAAGCUUAAGCAGAGAAAAUCCAGAGGAACCAGAGGCCCUGCACUCUGAACUCAGCACUAACACUGAAUGUCAAGGCUUUUGUUGGGUUAAAAAUGUGUUUUGCCAUAUAGGCUAUACUGGAUUUGAAAAUAGGUUAUGAAUAUGUCCUCGGUAAUAAAUUUUAAAGCAGACCGAGCAUACUGAUUGCUUGUGGGAACUACUAUGAAGUGCCUGUCUUUUAUGGCUAAGUUUCUUGCAUUGCUGCUGUAGUAUUUUACAUGCCGGCUCUUCGGAUUACUGUAUGUUAGCUACUUGAACUAUGUUUUAGGAAAAUAAUCAUUUGAUAUAUUCUAGGCAUGGUUUUAUGGUGUGCGAGAAAUGCAGACAAGGAUUAUUAUGCAUUUGAUUCAUCAACAUUCGUUAUAUGAAAGAAUCUGAAGUAGAAGUUUUGUUUAUCCUCUUUAAGGUCAAAUUUGUCCUGAUUGGUAGCAUUCUCCUUUGCAUCAUUUACAUUCAGGUGGAGAUUGUAAACUCAUAUUAUGCGUAUUAUGAUGCGACCAAUAAUAUUAAAGUCUUCGUUUCGAAGUCCUUUUUCUGGUAGCUAGAACCAAGUAUAAAAGUCCAAAUAUUUAACAAGGCUGUGAAGCAAUUAUAGUCGACCAAAGAAUCUAUAAUGAGGUACUUACCAUUGUAAGCAAAGAACGGCUGGGUUUGUUGCAUGUGCUGUCUACUCUGCUUUUAAUUGUGUUGACUGGGCAGCUUCAAGAUCAACCUAUUGAAAACCUUAUAUUCCUUGAGAAGGUUCUACCAUGUGGAAAUGCUCUUUAAUGGAACUUUAACUGUAACCGUCGUGACCAGAAAACCACCGGUUAAGAGAAAUAUACAUCAUGAACUUUUGGUUUCGGAUACUGUAAUUUUUUAUAUGAAGGGGAAAGUGAAGGAAUACCAAGAAUUGGCCCUGUGCAAAAGAACAAUCUACGAAGCUGGGGAUUACCUAGGAAACCUGUUCAAGAUCCAGAGAAACAGAUGGGGAAGUAAGGAUUAGAUGAGUUUCAUCGCUUUUCACAAGGUUCAAACACAAUGCUGUGCAAUAGGCUGUCAACAAAUGAGUCUCAAUGAAUGUUGAAUGAAAGAGCAUUCUUUUGAUCUGAAAUUCUAGCAAACCUCUGGUUGUGGUGCAUUCUAUUUCCAAGGCCAUGGGUUCGACUAAGAAUAGAAAUGCUUGUGCUGCGGUUGGGGAAUUGUUGGCUCAGAGGGCCUUCGCUGAUGAUAUCCAUAAUGUGGUUUAUAUUCCAAGGAAAGGGGAGAAAUUGGAAGGGAAGCUUCAGAUUGUACUCAAGUCCAUAAUUGAUAAAUGGAAUUGAUGUGAAGUUGAAACUUGAGCAGAGAAAAUCCAGAAAAACCAGAGCCUUGCCCUGAGAACUCAGCAGUAAUACUGCGUGUUAUGGCCUUCAUUGAGAUACAAAAUGUGGUUAGCCAUAUACUGGAUUUAUGGGCUCUGAUAAUGUCCUAGGAUCUAAAUUUUGAAGAAGACCGAGUUUAUUUAUCACUUGCGGGAGCUACUCUGAAGUGCUUGCUGUCUGCAUCAAUAUCAAAUGGAGUCAGUGAGUACAUUUUUGAUACGAUCAUAUUUAUUCACUGAACAUAAGUGUUGAAUGCUUUGUUAGCAUACUUCCACAUGGAUAUGGAGAAGUGUCUACUUUUUAAUUGUUAGUCACCUCUGAACUCACAUUGUGUCCAAUUACUGUUAUACAUGCAUGGAUGAAUUACUGUUCAUUAACAUUUGACCAUACUGCCAAAUUUGUUAAAUGACCUUAUAUGUCUACAUUCAACUCUGAGAAGUAGUAUUGAACCCGUAAUAAUAGAUAGAUACCAGCCAUGAACAAUGCAUUUAUUCAAUACAUG
Molecule: long non-coding RNA, 3489 nt
Filed under: Olea europaea subsp. europaea
Lineage: Eukaryota; Viridiplantae; Streptophyta; Magnoliopsida; Lamiales; Oleaceae
Source: RNAcentral